RNAcentral lists this ribosomal RNA (2931 nucleotides) under Bacillus amyloliquefaciens. Its description in RNAcentral is "23S ribosomal RNA". It matches the Rfam family "Bacterial large subunit ribosomal RNA". The record is from RNAcentral. Lineage: Bacteria; Bacillati; Bacillota; Bacilli; Caryophanales; Bacillaceae.
GGUUAAGUUAGAAAGGGCGCACGGUGGAUGCCUUGGCACUAGGAGCCGAUGAAGGACGGGACGAACACCGAUAUGCUUCGGGGAGCUGUAAGCAAGCUUUGAUCCGGAGAUUUCCGAAUGGGGAAACCCACCACUCGUAAUGGAGUGGUAUCCAUAUCUGAAUACAUAGGAUAUGAGAAGGCAGACCCGGGGAACUGAAACAUCUAAGUACCCGGAGGAAGAGAAAGCAAAUGCGAUUCCCUGAGUAGCGGCGAGCGAAACGGGAUCAGCCCAAACCAAGAGGCUUGCCUCUUGGGGUUGUAGGACACUCUGUACGGAGUUACAAAGGAACGAGGUAGAUGAAGAGGUCUGGAAAGGCCCGCCAUAGGAGGUAACAGCCCUGUAGUCAAAACUUCGUUCUCUCCUGAGUGGAUCCUGAGUACGGCGGAACACGUGAAAUUCCGUCGGAAUCCGGGAGGACCAUCUCCCAAGGCUAAAUACUCCCUAGUGACCGAUAGUGAACCAGUACCGUGAGGGAAAGGUGAAAAGCACCCCGGAAGGGGAGUGAAAGAGAUCCUGAAACCGUGUGCCUACAAGUAGUCAGAGCCCGUUAACGGGUGAUGGCGUGCCUUUUGUAGAAUGAACCGGCGAGUUACGAUCCCGUGCAAGGUUAAGCAGAAGAUGCGGAGCCGCAGCGAAAGCGAGUCUGAAUAGGGCGAAUUGAGUACGUGGUCGUAGACCCGAAACCAGGUGAUCUACCCAUGUCCAGGGUGAAGUUCAGGUAACACUGAAUGGAGGCCCGAACCCACGCACGUUGAAAAGUGCGGGGAUGAGGUGUGGGUAGGGGUGAAAUGCCAAUCGAACCUGGAGAUAGCUGGUUCUCUCCGAAAUAGCUUUAGGGCUAGCCUCAAGGUAAGAGUCUCGGAGGUAGAGCACUGAUUGGACUAGGGGCCCCUACCGGGUUACCGAAUUCAGUCAAACUCCGAAUGCCGAUGACUUAUCCUUGGGAGUCAGACUGCGAGUGAUAAGAUCCGUAGUCGAAAGGGAAACAGCCCAGACCGCCAGCUAAGGUCCCAAAGUAUACGUUAAGUGGAAAAGGAUGUGGAGUUGCUUAGACAACCAGGAUGUUGGCUUAGAAGCAGCCACCAUUUAAAGAGUGCGUAAUAGCUCACUGGUCGAGUGACUCUGCGCCGAAAAUGUACCGGGGCUAAACGUAUCACCGAAGCUGCGGACUGUUCUUCGAACAGUGGUAGGAGAGCGUUCUAAGGGCUGUGAAGCAAGACCGGAAGGACUUGUGGAGCGCUUAGAAGUGAGAAUGCCGGUAUGAGUAGCGAAAGAGGGGUGAGAAUCCCCUCCACCGAAUGCCUAAGGUUUCCUGAGGAAGGCUCGUCCGCUCAGGGUUAGUCGGGACCUAAGCCGAGGCCGAAAGGCGUAGGCGAUGGAUAACAGGUUGAUAUUCCUGUACCACCUCCUCACCAUUUGAGCAAUGGGGGGGACGCAGGAGGAUAGGGUAAGCGCGGUAUUGGAUAUCCGCGUCCAAGCAGUUAGGCUGGGAAAUAGGCAAAUCCGUUUCCCGUGAAGGCUGAGCUGUGAUGGCGAGCGAAUUAUAGUAGCGAAGUUCCUGAUUCCACACUGCCAAGAAAAGCCUCUAGCGAGGUGAGAGGUGCCCGUACCGCAAACCGACACAGGUAGGCGAGGAGAGAAUCCUAAGGUGAUCGAGAGAACUCUCGUUAAGGAACUCGGCAAAAUGACCCCGUAACUUCGGGAGAAGGGGUGCUCUGUUAGGGUGCAAGCCCGAGAGAGCCGCAGUGAAUAGGCCCAGGCGACUGUUUAGCAAAAACACAGGUCUCUGCGAAGCCGUAAGGCGAAGUAUAGGGGCUGACGCCUGCCCGGUGCUGGAAGGUUAAGAGGAGCGCUUAGCGUAAGCGAAGGUGCGAAUUGAAGCCCCAGUAAACGGCGGCCGUAACUAUAACGGUCCUAAGGUAGCGAAAUUCCUUGUCGGGUAAGUUCCGACCCGCACGAAAGGCGCAACGAUCUGGGCACUGUCUCAACGAGAGACUCGGUGAAAUUAUAGUACCUGUGAAGAUGCAGGUUACCCGCGACAGGACGGAAAGACCCCGUGGAGCUUUACUGCAGCCUGAUAUUGAAUGUUGGUACAGCUUGUACAGGAUAGGUAGGAGCCUUGGAAACCGGAGCGCCAGCUUCGGUGGAGGCAUCGGUGGGAUACUACCCUGGCUGUAUUGACCUUCUAACCCGCCGCCCUUAUCGGGCGGGGAGACAGUGUCAGGUGGGCAGUUUGACUGGGGCGGUCGCCUCCUAAAAGGUAACGGAGGCGCCCAAAGGUUCCCUCAGAAUGGUUGGAAAUCAUUCGCAGAGUGUAAAGGCACAAGGGAGCUUGACUGCGAGACCUACAAGUCGAGCAGGGACGAAAGUCGGGCUUAGUGAUCCGGUGGUUCCGCAUGGAAGGGCCAUCGCUCAACGGAUAAAAGCUACCCCGGGGAUAACAGGCUUAUCUCCCCCAAGAGUCCACAUCGACGGGGAGGUUUGGCACCUCGAUGUCGGCUCAUCGCAUCCUGGGGCUGUAGUCGGUCCCAAGGGUUGGGCUGUUCGCCCAUUAAAGCGGUACGCGAGCUGGGUUCAGAACGUCGUGAGACAGUUCGGUCCCUAUCCGUCGCGGGCGCAGGAAAUUUGAGAGGAGCUGUCCUUAGUACGAGAGGACCGGGAUGGACGCACCGCUGGUGUACCAGUUGUUCUGCCAAGGGCAUCGCUGGGUAGCUAUGUGCGGACGGGAUAAGUGCUGAAAGCAUCUAAGCAUGAAGCCCCCCUCAAGAUGAGAUUUCCCAUUCCGCAAGGAAGUAAGAUCCCUGAAAGAUGAUCAGGUUGAUAGGUCUGAGGUGGAAGUGUGGCGACACAUGGAGCUGACAGAUACUAAUCGAUCGAGGACUUAACCUA